AGUGGUUACGCUCCGCUGGGGAGCCGGAACUGUAAAUUCCUACUGUGGUUCGAGUCCACAAACCACUG
This 68-nucleotide transfer RNA is filed under the name Brassica juncea (brown mustard). Its description in RNAcentral is "tRNA-Tyr". Lineage: Eukaryota; Viridiplantae; Streptophyta; Magnoliopsida; Brassicales; Brassicaceae. RNAcentral also lists the same sequence under 8 other names. The record is from RNAcentral.